AAGGUCCUUGAUGUGUGUAAAAUGCACUUGUUUUAUCCCUACUUUUAAUUAAUAAAUUUAUCACACAAAGGCAGUGAACCUGUCUUUUAGUGGUAUAGAUUAGUAAGUAAUGUGUCAAACUCAGGGAACAGGAAAUUAAACUACUAACUAAUUUUAACUAAAACAACUAAUAAAAGUAAAAGGGGUUUCUUCUAGUUUUGCAAGACUAGAAACUUAGGCACACUAAAUUAACUAAAUAACUAAAGCAACAACUAUUCACCAAGUUUGAUAAAGAUGUUUCUAUUUAGGUUCAACCAAUUCACUCCUAUGGUUAUUUGUAUUUAUGAUAGAUUAAUUGCUAUUGGUUACCAAUUAUAAUGGUUAGGUUCAUGUUCAUUACUCCUAACCCUUAGACAAUUAACUAAUUUAAGCGGUGAUCAAGUGUUUAAACUAAUUAAUUCCCUAGAUUAAUGGUUUGGAUUAAAUAAGAUUUGUAAUGGUUAAUUAAGUUAUUAAUUCAAUUAACCUCUUGUUUGAUGGUUUCUCAAACAAGCUCACACAUUAAUCUUCCUAUUGUCUUAUUAAUCUUAGUUUCAUAAUCAUUACUUCUAAGCAUAUGGUUUAGUGUUCACAUAGACAUAUGAGGUUAACAACUAAGAGAUGUUCAUGCAGCCUAAUUGUCUUCCAAUUAACAGAAAAUAGUAGUGAUUAAUGCAUAAGGUUCUUUAACAAACUUAAUUUAAUAAAUCACCAAUAAACAAUCAAACAAAAACUAAUAAUUAAACCAUAGGAGUUCCUUGGUAUUCCCCAAACAGAAACAAAACGAAUUUAGUUCAUAGUUGCAGUAGAAACAAACAUAGAAACAAGGUUUUCUAGAUCAAACAUAUUCAAUUCUUAAAUCUAAGUGGUAGGAUUAACCUAAUUGCUUGAAUUCUUCAAAAGAUUGAAGCUUAGGGUUCCUCAGCGUCUUCUAGGGCUCUUAAUUGCAGCUUGACCUUCAAAAAUCGCCAGAAGUGUUGUCCUAUUCGAUAAAGAUUCGGUUUUUAUAGAUAUCUCAAAACAGGGUGUACUCGGCGAGUAGCAGGACCAACUUGCCGAGUAGGUGCAUAGUUAUCCGUCUUGAAUAAGGAAUCGUAGCUAUCUUCUGGAACAUCCUCGUGUACUCACCGAGUAGAGUCGUCUACUCGCCGAGUACAUGGUCUUUUGUCUCUUAUUUUCUUUCUUUGAUCUUCAAUUGCUUCUCCUUGCUUCCUUUUACUUCCAAGCAUAUCUUCUGGACUGAAAACAAAAUUCAAAACAUUUUAAGUACCUUUUGUCCACAUUAUUCACAUAAUUAAUUAAAAAUGAUUAAGAAUAUGUACUAAAUAAUUAACUAAUUAUGCACAUAUCAAAAUACCCCACACUUGACUUUUGCUUGCCCCCAAGCAAAACUAAAAUUUAAGCAUAUUAGAAUCACAUAUAAUAACUCCAAUCUAACCCAGCCAUUAUGCCAAGACCGCAACGCAUGCAUUUGUGUCUAAAAUUUUUCCUAAAAACCUCCCAUACUCCAAAUACUCACAAUCCUCAUAAACAUUUGCCCACUCACCCCGAACUAUGCUCAUUUUAUGCAACCCUCCGAAUCCAUCCGCAGAAAACCUCUUUACCCUCAAGGUAUUUUUAAUUGAGCAACCCAAGCAUACAUAAUCUAGAAUUACAACUUUUUCAUACCACUAUGGAGCUUUCUUUUGAAUUCAUCUCUUCUUUGAUAUUUGACCUUUGAUUUCUUUGAAUUCACCACUUUGUAUUGAUAGAUUUUUGGUAUCUUCAACUUUUUGGAUUUCUUGGAAUUUUGAUCUGUAGAUCUUCACUUUAUUUGCUCCAAAAUUCUUACAACCUUUCUAGUAAUUCUCUCUUUUUUUUACAUGUAUUCCUCACUUUUUUCACUCAAAUCCCUACAUGCUUAAGCAGGGGNUUUUUUCACUCAAAUCCCUACAUGCUUAAGCAGGGGCGCUCAAUCUCAACCUUUAUUGGCUAAUGAUAACAAUUUUCCUAGAUACAUUUCAGGUUUAGGCUGCUAAACAUAUUGCAUCCCUCAGGCUGAGCGAGGUCGUGUUUUUGUCCCAUGAUUUCACUGGAAUAAGGAGGCCACAAAUGUACUAGAACGUAUAUAGGCUCAACUAAACAUUUGGGUUUUCAUGCAGUCAUCAACACAAUUCUAAUAUGGAAUCCUAAUUUGUUUUUACCAAAAUUUUCUAAUUUAAAUCCCUAAGUAUAUUUUUUUUUUUAAAAUUAUCCUAAAUUAAGAUUCUAAAUUUUCUAAUAUGUGACUAACCCCCUACCCCACACUUAUUUUAUGCAAUGCCCUCAUUGCAUAUUAUGCAAAAUAAAAAUGCAAAUAUAGAGAGAAUUGGAACAAACUCCCCUGGGGUAGCAGUCGAUAGGUUGCCACUCUCCUCUUCAGCUCCUUCUUCAAUUGACUCUAGCCAUGGGAACAACUCAUCCAUGGCACGGGUGUCAUGCGUCUCGUGUGGUUGACAGCUCGAAAAUUCCACGGAACAAGGUCGUUAGAAAGUCUCCAGUAGUAAUCCAUCACAAAGAGUGUAUGAAUGUUGCAGUGAAAGUGGUCAAAACAAUUCUGAAAUUCCAAAAGUAGCAGGCUACUCGGCGAGUAGGCCUUGAUGCAAAAUAAGAUCGUGUAAUAUCGCAUGUACUCGCCGAGUAGAGUUUGUGCACUCGGCGAGUAGUGACUGUUUUUCCAAAAUUGUUCUAGUCGCUGCUUCUCUCGACUUUGGUGUUGAAAUCGGAAAUGUAAAUUGACCCUCACUCGAAUUCCUUCAGCAUCAACACUCUCUAUGACCCUCGACCCUUACGGACUCAAUCCUAAGGACAAGACUCCAUAAUUGCUUAAAAAUCUUUCAUUCCUUUCUUAACCCUCACUAGUUAGUAUGUUUCCCUAUCUUCAAUCCCUGAAAAAAACUAACAGUGACACUAAUAAUCCAACCACCAUAAAACAAAAUCCAAAGUGUUUAACAAUUGUCUUAGAACAAAACAUCAUAAGCAUAAAAAAAACAAAACAAAUUCUUCAAUCUUCAUCAUCCAUUCCAGCUCCUCCUGCUCCACUUCCUCCCUCUCCAUCUCUUCUUCGCAUCCUCUCAUCCCAAUUCAUGAUAUAGGGAUAGCCGGGUCCAGGUCUCGGGGCAAUUUGCAUUUGUUGAAAGAGGUACUCGAAAGAUUGAUUAGUGUAGUUUACCCCUCGCCCAAUAUCAUCCAAGUAGCGUCGGUACUCUACUUGGUUCCAACCAUCAUUAUCCUCCACCGGAAUAACCGGUGGAUCCUCCCGCACCCGUUUGCUCCUUUGUCGGACCCGCCUUCCCGGCUCCUCGGGGACCGCCGGCUCAUCUUCAUGUGGAAUAGUGAAGGAAUCACCAAACUUUUCAACUAUCCGUGCCCUCCUAUAAAGUGCAGUGUUGAAUGGUGGAGGUUGGAGAACCGUUAGUGCUUGAGCUUGUGGCAAAUCCAAGAUCCCAAAUGACUUGGCAAGUCGAGUAAUAAACAUGCCUCCAUUUAUCUUUGAAUUUAUCUUCUCUUUGACUGCCCCCUCAGCAAGAAAUUUGGCAAUGCAGUAAGGAAGGUUGCAAAAAACGUCUGGAGUGAUGAUGCUCCACAAGUAGAAGAUGUCAAGGGUGGGGACUUUGUCCCCAUCCUUUCGCAUGUUUAUCGUACUAGCCACAAACCGGUGAAUGAGUCGGUGGAUCGGAGAACGAAUGUGACCUUCUUGUGCGGUGGAGGGAAUGUAGACUCGGUUAGCAAUUGUGUUCCACCAUGUAGACGCCACUACCUCCUCGGGAAGUUCUUUGCAACAAUUUUCCAAGAAGGCUUCAAAAUAGUCUGUCAUCACCAUGUCUUGGUCAUAAACACCCAACCUCCAUGAGAACUCCACCAUGCUGCAUUGUCACAGCUCCCCGCCCAAAGAGAAAGAGAUUGUGUUAGGAUUAUAGAACUCACUACCACCUCGAAAUGAGAUGGUAGCAAAGAAUUCCCAGCACAACUCAGUGUAAAUCGGCUCUUGGAUUUUAAAUAACUACAACUAACCAUCACAAGUGAUGUUGGCAUAUCCCAAAUUGCAAUCCUUUACCAAGUACGGGGUGAGUUCUUCUUCCAAACUAACAUUUCCCAUCCAUCCCCAAUCCACUACAUUUGGAAGGUGAAUUUCCUUCUGCCUAAGUGCCUCCAGUCUGUUUAGAGCUCUUGUUUUUGAUGUUUUGGACGUAAUUUGUUGAAAAGAUAGCCAUGGCAUAUCACCAUGGCUUCCCCCUCGCGAAGAUUGACCCCUUCUUGCCAUGCUACCUGUAUACACAUAUCAAGAACACAGCAACAAACAACAACCAGUAAUUAAAAACAAAAAAUAUUGGGUCUGAGUGUGACCUACUCGCCGAGUACAUGACUCUACUCGGCGAGUAGUAUGAACACCAUGACAGAUCGAGUGUCGGAUCUGUGUAAACUGUCCAAAAGUCGAAAUUUUUCAUAGGGUUUUGUUGUAAUUACUUAUCUAACCAUAGAUCUUGAAGAAAAUACUCCUAACAAUAUCUAAUUCGUGAUUAAAUCAAAACCCUAGAAGUUGAGGAAAACUCCCCAAAUCCGAAAUUACUUCAAAUCUGGACAAAUCUGUGAUAAAAAUCAAACCUUUCAUGAAUUUAAAGGGUAAAGAUGUUACCUUUUUGCUUGAAUAGUGAGAAUUGAGUAGAAAAUUGAAUAAAUCUUGAAAGCAACUUGAAAGAUGACUGAGAGGAUAGUGCAUGGCGAGUAAUGGGAUGAAAUGGUGAAAAAAAGAAAAUUUACAGAUUAUAUUUCACUUGUUUUAAACUGGCUACUCGCCGAGUAGAAUGGGUCUACUCGCCGAGUAGAAGCGCUUUCGAAUAACAUCUGACUGAACCGAGCAUCUACUCACCGAGUACAUGACUCUACUCGGCGAGUAGUAUGUCACAGAUUGAAAAUUUUUGUGUAUUUAGAAAAACUAGUGUAUUAAUUCAUGUUUUUACACCAUCCACCCCACACUCUAAUCAUGGCUUGUUCUCAAGAAGUUAUUGGCAUAAAAGUAGAUGAAGAAGAAUGAAAAAAAUGUGAAAAUAAAGAAAAGGAAAGAAAAUGCAAACUUGAGACUCGGGUUGCCUCCCGAGAAGCGCUUCUUUUUAUGGAGUCGUUAGCUGGACUCCUCCCCUUCUACGUAGUUGCAAUUCCGCCCAGCAGCAACUCUUCCAAUCCUUCAUUCCGGGGGACUCCUUCUUCAUAGUUUUUUACUCUAUAACCAUUGACUUUGAAAGGCGUGUCGUCUCUUGAUAACAACUCUAUAGCCCCAUGUGGAAACACCGUCUUGACCAGAAAAGGACCAUCCCACCUUGAUUUGAGUUUGCCCGAGAAAAGUUUUAAUUGUGAAUUGAAAAGCAACACUUUUUGGCCUUCAUGGAUUUCUUUAUUCUUGAUCCUUUUAUCAUGCCAUUUCUUGGUCUUUUCUUUAUAAAGCCAAGAACUAGAGUAUGCAUCAAUCCUUAGCUAUUCAAGGGCAUUCAUUUGCAUCAAACGGUUGCUCUUUAGUUCUUCCAUGUCGAAGUUGCACCUUUUUAAAGCCCAAUACGCCUUGUGCUCGAUUUCGACCGGUAAAUGGCAUUGCUUUCCAUAAACUAACCUAUAUGGUGUAGUACCAAUAGGUGUUUUGAAAGCUAUACGAAAGGCCCAUAAUGCAUCAUCUAGUUUAUCCGACCAUUCCUUGCGGUUGCUUCCCACCGAUUUUUCUAAAAUUCGCUUCAAGGCUCGAUUGGUCACUUCAGUUUGUCCACUAGUUUGUGGAUGAUAUGAUGUGGAGAACUUAUGGGUAACCCCAUAUUUCUUUAGCACUUUUUCCAAUUGAUCAUUGGCAAAAUGUGUGCCUCGGUCACUAAUAAGGGUUUUUCGGGCCUCCAAAUCGUGAAAAUAGUUUCUUUAAAAAUCCUACUACCACCCGUCCGUCAUUUGUUGGUAAUGCUUGUGCUUCCGCCCACUUAGAUACAUAAUCGACCCCUUUGGACAUGGGAAAAGGUCCCAUGAAGUCAAUGCCCCACACAUCAAACACCUCGCACACUUGGAUACUAUGUUGUGGCAUUUAAUUCGAGAUGAAAUAUUUCCCACUCUUUGACAAGCAUCACAUUCUUNNNNNNNNNNNNNNNNNNNNNNNNNNNNNNNNNNNNNNNNNNNNNNNNNNNNNNNNNNNNNNNNNNNNNNNNNNNNNNNNNNNNNNNNNNNNNNNNNNNNGGUCAGGUCAGAGGCUAUAAUUACUGGCUUUUGGUUGCCUUCUUCUAGAAAAGCAUACUCCAAAUGAUCUGGUAAGGUUUUCAGCUCCGAUUUUUGGCUCUGCCUGUUGGACUCGCCGAGUGCAGGUAGGGUACUCGGCGAAUUUGUGGCUGCAUUCACGAAUUCUAACUUUUCUUCAGAUAUACUCGGCGAGUAGAUCGGCCCUACUCGGCGAGUAGGGCUGUCAGAUUGCUUCAUUAGUUCUUCAUACUCCGCUUCUUCCAACAGUCUUUCAAUUUCUAGUAAAUCUUUUUCUGGAUCAAAUGCUUCAUCUAAAGCUGCAAACUUGCUGGAAUCUUUAGGUAUGUCUUCCUCCGAUAGUUCAUCAAGCAUGUCGAUUGAGAAUGCCGUGUCGUCACUGCUCCUAGAAUGCUUCAUAGCUUGGUCCACCCCGAAUGUUACUGAAUCGUCCCCGAACCGCAAGGUGAGCUUUGAGUCUCUUAUGUCUACUAUAGCGCUGGCCGUGUUGAGGAAGGGCCUUCCAAGGAUGAUUGGUACUUGUGGAUCCGCCUCCAUGUCUAGAAUGAUGAAAUCAGCAGGAAAAACAAAUUUAUCCACCUUGACUAGUANGGUGACUGUUUUGUUUGCCAAGUGUAUUGCCAUGCGAAUUGGCCUUGGUUCCGGGAGAUCGAGCUUCUUAAAGAACGAAUAUGGCAUUAGAUUCACACCUUCUCCCGAAUCGGCUAAGGCAUAAAUGAUGGUCAAGUUGCCAAAUUGGCAAGGUAAGGUCAAGCUCCCUGGGUCGCCAUUCUUCUUAGGUAGCCUAUUUAGCAUAGCAGCUGAGCAGUUUUCAUUGAGUACCACCUUCUUCACUUCUUCCAUCUUCUUUCUAUUUGUGAGAAGUUCCUUAAGGAACUUUGCAUAUUUGGGCAUUUGCAUGACGGCUUCAAUGAAUGGUAUGUUGAUUUGAAGAGUUUUGAUGUGAUCUAGAAACUUCUGAUACUCCUCUUCCUGCUUCUCCUUCUUAGCUCGGGUUGGAUAUGGCACGGGAGGCUGAUAAAGUUUUUCAGGAACCUGUGCGGUGGGUUUUUGAGAUGUACUCGCCGAGUCCAUACGUGGUACUCGGCGAGUAGGACUAUCAGAGUGCAAUUCUUGGUUUUCUGCUUGCUUUUCUGGUUCCUCCUUCUGUGAUUUCUUGGAUGACUCAGUCUGAAUAGGUGCCAGGGGAGUGAUUAUCUUCCCACUUCUUGUUGUGACAAUGUUUAUUUGCGCGCCUCGUGGGUUAUUUUCAGUUUUGCUAGGAAGUUCGCCCGGUGAUCUUUGGUUGAUUUGUUGAGCAAGUUGCCCAAGCUGUGUCUCUAUAUUGUGAAUAGAUGCUUGCUGGUUCCUUAGCAUGGUCCUUGUUUCUUGAAUUGCAGCAUCAUGGUCACUGUGUCUUUUUUCUGAAGCAGCUACAAAUUUUGUGAGCAUUUCUUCCAAGCUUGGCUUCUUUUCUUGCACCGGCUCCUCCUUUUGGUAUAACCCUCUCCCUUUUUGCCUAAACCUUUCCUCCUUGGCUUUCUUGUACUCUUCAUAAGGGAGCCAAUCUUUCUUUUGUUUUCGCCAGUCUUCAUCAUAUCGGUCUCCACUUGAGUAACACACUUGCGCCUUCUUGUUGCCAUUUUCAUCUAAAUCACAAUCUCUAGUGAGGUGAGGCCCAUUGCAGUUUUCACAACCCACCCGAAUAGCAUGGAUUGUUUGAUCCAUCUUAUCCAUCCUCCUAUCCAUGGUUUUUAGCAUAGCCAUGACCGCGGAUAAGUCUUCAGUAGCUGCAUAGGCAGCUCCCCUAGUGACAUCAUGCCUAGGGUUGUGGUAUUCUCUAGAGUGUUUAGAGAAUUCUUCAAUCAAUUCUUUGAUCACCGGGGGUGGCUUCUUUGUGAGCGGGCCUUGCGAGUCUAGUAACUGCCUGGUUGUGACAUUGACUCCAUCAUAGAAGAUGGAUACUUCUUGCUGGCUGUUUAGGUCAUGGUGUGGGCAGUUUCUUAGUAAGCUCUUGUACCUCUCCCAUGCUUCAUAUAGCGACUCUCCAGCUUGUUGUUCAAAGUUAGCAAUGGCCUUCUUCAACUUGGCUAUCUUGGAAGGUGGGCAAAAGUGAUCAAUGAAUUCUUCUUUCAUCUUGGCCCAAGUGGUGACUGAUCCGGGGGGAAGUGACUUGAGCCAGUCUUUUGCAGCACCUUUGAAUGUCACCGGAAGCAUACGAAGUAGCUGAGUCUCGCGGGGCACAUUUGGAACAUUGAAGUAAUCAGCUACAUCAUUGACUUCAUCCAAAUGUUUGUAGGCAUCUUCAUGGUCUUUUCCAUAAAAAGGUAUUUCCUUAAGUAAAGCUAGGAUAUGACCCUUUAGCUCGAAGGUAGCAGUCGCGGGAAUUGCGGGUUGCACAAGUCCCGGGCCAGUGUCGUCUCGCAUCCUCUUCUUCCAUUCUCCCAUGGGGAUUUCAUCAAUGUUAGCCAUUGUGACAACUAACUCUUCCUCGGAUUCGGUUUCGUGCUCGUAUUUCGGGUCCUCUUCUUCUUCGGUCUCGUACUUGAUAUCUUCCUUAGCCGGUUCGUCGAUUACUAAGGAAGCGCUGGAUGCUCCUGAUUUGCUGCUCUUCUUUUUCCCAAAAACAAUCUUCAAAUUGGACAAGGGUGAUUUCUUUGGUGUACUUGAACUAUCCACGUCCUUUCCCUUGUUUCUUUUCAAUGCGGUUUCGGGAUCUUCAAACGGGGGUACCAGCGGGGUGUUUGAUCCUCUGGUCAUGAAAGUCCUGAAAUAAACAGAAUAAAAGCGUAAAAAGAACAAAAAAAUGUANGUUUGAUCCUCUGGUCAUGAAAGUCCUGAAAUAAACAUAAUAAAAGCGUAAAAAGAACAAAAAAAAUGUACUAAAAAAAUUAAAAUUUACUGCUAAAUAAACUGCUACUCGCCGAGUAGGUGCGAUUGCACUCGGCGAGUAUCAGUGAUAUUUUGAAAAAAUUCUAAAUUUAAUACUAAACUAAAACAGAUGCUAAAACCUAAUUACUAAUUACUAAAUUGCAAUAAAUGAACUCUAUGCAAGUAAACUCACACAAAGGAUCGAAAAAAUUAGGAAUUAGAUUAAUUAUUUAGAACCGUUCCCCGGCAACGGCGCCAAAAACUUGAUGUGUGUAAAAUGCACUUGUUUUAUCCCUACUUUUAAUUAAUAAAUUUAACACACAAAGGCAGUGAACCUGUCUUUUAGUGGUAUAGAUUAGUAAGUAAGGUGUCGAACUCAGGGAACGGGAAAUUAAACUACUAACUAAUUUUAACUAAAACAACUAAUAAAAGUAAAAGGGGUUUCUUCUAGUUUUGCAAGAUUAAAACUUAGGCACACUAAAUUAACUAAAUAACUAAAGACACAACUAUUCACCAAGUUUGAUAAAGAUGUUUCUAUUUAGGUUCAACCAAUUCACUCCUAUGGUUAUUUGUAUUUAUGAUAGAUUAAUUGGUAUUGGUUACCAAUUAUAAUGGUUAGGUUCAUGUUCAUUACUCCUAACCCUUAGACAAUUAACUAAUUUAAGCGGUGAUCAAGUGUUUAAACUAAUUAAUUC
This 9806-nucleotide long non-coding RNA is filed under the name Lactuca sativa (garden lettuce). RNAcentral describes it as "long non-coding RNA (LSAT_LNC002994)". The stretch from base 8222 to 8328 matches the Rfam family "Plant small nucleolar RNA R71". The record is from RNAcentral. Lineage: Eukaryota; Viridiplantae; Streptophyta; Magnoliopsida; Asterales; Asteraceae.